CUAGCUCGUAAUAUGUACGAGCGGGCUG
This 28-nucleotide small RNA is filed under the name Bombyx mori (domestic silkworm). RNAcentral describes it as "ovarian small RNA-14635". Lineage: Eukaryota; Metazoa; Arthropoda; Insecta; Lepidoptera; Bombycidae. The record is from RNAcentral.